UACAUCACUUACAAAUCACC
This 20-nucleotide non-coding RNA is filed under the name Rattus norvegicus (Norway rat). Lineage: Eukaryota; Metazoa; Chordata; Mammalia; Rodentia; Muridae. The record is from RNAcentral.